RNAcentral lists this ribosomal RNA (373 nucleotides) under Thamnodynastes pallidus. Its description in RNAcentral is "partial 16S ribosomal RNA". It matches the Rfam family "Bacterial large subunit ribosomal RNA", at positions 1971 to 2557 of the family's 2925-position model. Lineage: Eukaryota; Metazoa; Chordata; Lepidosauria; Squamata; Dipsadidae. The record is from RNAcentral.
GUCUAUUAAUUGUAGACCAGCAUGAAUGGCAAAAUGAAGGCCUAACUGUCUCUUAUAGUAAAUCAAUUAAACUGAUCCCCCAGUAAAAAAGCUAGGAUAACCCCAUAAGACCAGAAGACCCUGUGAAGCUUAAACUACCCUAUUAAACCCCAUAAUAGCUACUUUCGGUUGGGGCGACCUUGGAAAAAAAAAGAACUUCCAAAUAGUGACUAUAAACCACGCACACUUGGCCUACAAGCCUACCACUUUGACCCAGUAAAACUGAUAAUCGAACCAAGUUACUCCAGGGAUAACAGCGCCAUCUUCCUCAAGAGUCCAUAUCAAAAGGAAGGCUUACGACCUCGAUGUUGGAUCAGGACAUCCUAAUGGUGUA